CCCGGCACAAGCGGUGGAGCAUGUGGUUUAAUUCGACGCAACGCGAAGAACCUUACCAGGGCUUGACAUCUCCUGACCGCGUAUGAAAGUACGUUUUCACCCUCGGGUGACAGGGAGACAGGUGGUGCAUGGUUGUCGUCAGCUCGUGUCGUGAGAUGUUGGGUUAAGUCCCGCAACGAGCGCAACCCCUACGUUUAGUUGCUAACAGGUGAAGCUGAGCACUCUAGACGAACUGCCGUUGACAAAACGGAGGAAGGUGGGGAUGACGUCAAAUCAUCAUGCCCCUUAUGUUCUGGGCUACACACGUGCUACAAUGGCCGGUACAGACGGAGGCGAAGCCGCGAGGCGGAGCAAAACCGAAAAAGCCGGUCUCAGUUCGGAUUGCAGGCUGCAAUUCGCCUGCAUGAAGUCGGAAUCGCUAGUAAUCGCAGGUCAGCAUACUGCGGUGAAUACGUUCCCGGGCCUU
This 466-nucleotide ribosomal RNA is filed under the name uncultured Pelotomaculum sp. RNAcentral's name for it is "bacterial SSU rRNA". It matches the Rfam family "Bacterial small subunit ribosomal RNA", at positions 920 to 1382 of the family's 1533-position model. Lineage: Bacteria; Bacillati; Bacillota; Clostridia; Eubacteriales; Desulfotomaculaceae. The record is from RNAcentral.